CAAGUUAGGCGUACAUAUCUUGCCCCUGGCAUUUCCCUGGACGUUAGCGAUGAUCCGAAAGGUAGCGACGAUACUUGGACCAGCAGCGCUGGCUUCCCUGAUCAGGAUGGCGUUGCUGGU
Molecule: non-coding RNA, 120 nt
Submitted as: unclassified sequences
Source: Rfam